UAACAGUGGAUACAACAGUCCCAUAACUGUGACAACAUCUGGCCAUCUUGGCAGGGCAAGUCUAGUCUCUCUGCAUUGCUUUAUCCUACCUUCUGGAAGUGCAUAAGGAAAUCGUCAGUUUUUAUUUCGUUUGCACCUGUGACCCUACUUCUGGGUAAAACCUUUGAGGAAAAGCUGAAUUGUGUAGCUGACAGAAGCAGCAUAGCUGUCCUAGAACAUCAGACAGGCAAAAGAGCAGUAUCAAACUUGAAUAAAUCAACUAUGGAUGCCCGUUUUUUGAAUAAGUUUUGAAUAUUCUGCUGACAGACUGAUUUCUUCAUCUUAAUGGUGAUUUUCCAGCUUAGUAAAGGUUUCCUGUGAGAAACUGCCAGAAGCUUCUUCCAUGUCCAACAGAGCCAAUGCCAGCCAGCUCCAGGACUGAUGUGCCGCUGGUCAAGGCUGGGCCAAUUAGAAAUGAUGAGAACCCCUCUGUGAUAACAUAUUUAACAAGGAUAAAGAACAAAAAAGUUAUUGUACAGAUACAAUUGUGGCCAAAGACAAGUGGAGUGAAAAUGUAUGAGAGGAGCAGCAGUGUGGAGAAGGAGGGGCAGGAGGUGCACCAGGACCAGAGGAUUCCUCUGCAGCCUGUGGUGAAGACCAUGGUGAAGCAGCUGUGCCUCCGCAGCCCACAGGACACAGGGAUACAGAUAUCCACCUGCAGCACAUGGAGGAUGCCCCAUGCCAGAGCAGGGGGGUGCCUGAGAGGAGGCUGUGAUCCUGUGGCUCCUGGCAGGGACCUGCAGACCCAUGGAGAGAGGAGCCCAUGCUGGAACAGGUUUCCUGGUAGGAUUUGUGACCCUGUAGGAACCCAAACUGGAGCAGGUUAUGCCUGAAGGACUGCACCCCAUGGAAGAGUGACCCACACUGGAGCAGUUUGUGAAGAACUGUUGUCCAUGGGAUGGAUUCACACUGGAGAAAUUCUUGAAGAACUGUUUCCUGUAGGAGGCACACCGCACUGGAGAAAGGGAACCUAUGUGGAAUGAACCGACCACAACCUCCAUUCUCUGUCUCCUUGCUCUGCUGGGGGGAAGGAACUGGAGCCCGGGAAGGAGGGAGGACUGGGUGGUGGGGGAAGGUGUUUUUAAGAUAUAUUUUACUUUUCAUUAUCCUGCUCUCAUUUUGUUAAUAGUAAGUUUCAUGAAUAUCCCCCAUUUGAGUCUGUUCUGCCUGUGAAGGUAUUUGGACAAUGAGCUCUCUGUUCUUAUCUCAACUCAUGAACCCUCUGUUAUUUUUUUUCCUCCCUGUCCAGUUGUGAAGGUAAGUGAUAGAGAGGUUUUGGUGGGUGUCUGGUGUCCUGCCAGGGUCAACCCACUACUUAAAAAUAUACAUUGGAUAGGGGGUAUAGGGGGUUAUGUGAGUGUGUCUAUUGUUGUUGUUGCCUCUUCCAUGUUCUUUACAAGACAAAAUGUUCCUCUGCUAUAUUACAAGUCCCAUCCUCCUGUGACUCCUCCAUGUGCAAAGUGAAAUAUACAGACUCCCAGGACUUGGGGCAGAGGAACAGUAAGACUUUCCUUUUCUGGUGUGAGAAGAAAUCUUUAGUUACUAUUUUAUGCAGUAGCUAUAUUUUUUCCCUGAUGUGUUUCAGAUAAUUAAGUGCUUCCUAAAAUGUAAACUAUGGGAUUAGACAGCAGGUGUUUGCUUCAGGUAGUCAUAAACUCUUUUAAAAGACUUUGAAAUACCAAUAUCAGUUAAAAAGUCUUAGUGGUAAGUAUGCUACUGUGGAGAUUUAAUGGAAAUUUUCAAUUCAGUGCCUUUGUUCAAAGAAUGAUAUCAGGUUAUCAUUCAUCUGUGACAGAAGGUAUUCAACUGGAUGUUCCAAGAAACAUGCAUCCUCUUCUGAAGCCCAUGUGUGUGAACAUGAUUCUCUGAGCCUGAGAGAGUUUUCAGCCUGUCAGUGGCUGAUCUGUUCCCAAAGGAAAGUUUUCUGAGACAUGUUUCUCUCAAGGACUGUUUUUUUGUAAAUAGGUUUUUGGUUCUCAAAACAGUGUUGUACAGAUGUCCUGAGUGUUUUCUUUUGUUCCACCAAUGGGACCAGAGAGGCGUUCCCUUUACCAAUCAUGUUAAACCUGUACAGGAGCACCUUAUAAAAGGGGCUGAAAACCCUGAAAUAAAGGCUUCUGCCUUCUUGGGAUGAAACCUCUGCUGCUGUGAUUUGAAUCCACACUUCUGUUCCGUGUUCGCUAGUGGCACACGUGUACUGAAAUUCUACUGUAACACCCUGUGCUGUUUUCAGGACAGCACUGGUUUUGUCAGAUUCCUCAUUUCCUGCAUGCAUGACAUACCUGCCAAGGAUUCUGCUUGAGGCAAAACGAUCCUGCAUUCGGGUUUUUCAUCUCUUCCUCUAGCAAGCCUUUCCCACAUUUCUUAUGAUUUUUGUUGACCCUACUCUUAUCAUGUUAACUUCUUAUUUUCUUCCUUACUUUCUGUACUUCUAAGGAAAUGUUUUAGCUUUAAAACCAUCUGAAUAAUUGCUAAGAGAAUGAGAAGUUAUUGCAUGUUAAACAUCCAGAUGAAAUGAGUCAGGAACAGAUAUUGUCCGAUGGAAAAGAUCUAAAAUUUGUGAAAUUAUUUAAUUUAGAGAAACUGUAAUUAAAGAAUUUGAAAGUAAUCAGCUAACAUAAAAUGAAUGCACAAAAUAUGGUACAUCUUUAAUUUUUUCCCAACAUAUGAUGUGCAUAAUAGUUUUGACA
Non-coding RNA from Cyanistes caeruleus (blue tit), 2729 nucleotides. The record is from RefSeq and is a predicted model, not a curated record. NCBI's taxonomy places the organism in Eukaryota, Metazoa, Chordata, Aves, Passeriformes, Paridae.